This is a non-coding RNA of Sus scrofa (pig), 754 nucleotides long. The record is from RefSeq and is a predicted model, not a curated record. Lineage: Eukaryota; Metazoa; Chordata; Mammalia; Artiodactyla; Suidae.
CGUGCCUGGCGUCCCCACGCAUGCGCAGUUAGAGAAAGCUGGCGGAAGGAAAGGAUUGUCACCCUCUCCGUCCGUCUCCUGCAUCCCUGUCUGCAAGGUCUACUGCCAAGAGCAGUGUUUCCAAAGUGAUUUUACCAGUCUGAACUACCAUCAAUGCUGUUGAAAGAUCCUGUUGCAUUAUUUCUUCAUUAACAGGGAAAGGAGGCCCCAGCAGGCUAAUGCCUCGAAGAACGUGCCCUGGAGUAGAAUUGUCUGGAGUUUUAUAGUCUACAAGGAGAAAAACUGGGUUUCUGAUAAGAAUCAGCAUUGGGAAAAACAUUCUUCUUUCUUUGGGAGAAUCUUCCUCCUGGAAGCUCCUUUGAUCAUGAUCUUGGUGUGAUGCUUGUGAUGGCCUUCCGAGUUAUUGCCCAGAAUAACCAUCCUUGCAAAUAGGUCCUGUGGAUCAGAGAACAGAACAAACUGUAACCGACAAGGGGUCCUGGUUCCUCUUCAAGGAAUAUACACAAUAUCUUUGAGCCUUUCUGCAGAACGACUUGAUGAAGGAAUUUCUGGAAUCAGCACCAGAAUCUGUCCUGAGUUCACUAAACAUCAGCUUUGAAAGACAAUGCAAGCUUGCCUCUACCCUGAUCCUUAUCUGUGGCUCUAUUUUCCACUCCCCAAACUAAUCUCCACCUCCUAAUCUCUCCCAAAGUGAGCAGUCUUUAAAGCAUUAGCCUGCUGUGGCCCCCUUUUCCUGGAAAGUAAUAAAGCUACC